GAUGAACGCUGGCGGCGUGCUUAACACAUGCAAGUCGAACGGUGAACACGGAGCUUGCUCUGUGGGAUCAGUGGCGAACGGGUGAGUAACACGUGAGCAACCUGCCCCUGACUCUGGGAUAAGCGCUGGAAACGGCGUCUAAUACUGGAUAUGUGACGUGACCGCAUGGUCUGCGUUUGGAAAGAUUUUUCGGUUGGGGAUGGGCUCGCGGCCUAUCAGCUUGUUGGUGAGGUAAUGGCUCACCAAGGCGUCGACGGGUAGCCGGCCUGAGAGGGUGACCGGCCACACUGGGACUGAGAGACGGACCAGACUCCUACGGGAGGCAGCAGUGGGGAGUAUUGCACAAUGGUCGCAAGCCUGAUGCAGCAACGCCGCGUGAGGGAUGACGGCCUUCGGGUUGUAAACCUCUUUUAGCAGGGAAGAAGCGAAAGUGACGGUACCUGCAGAAAAAGCGCCGGCUAACUACGUG
This 469-nucleotide ribosomal RNA is filed under the name uncultured bacterium. Its description in RNAcentral is "partial 16S ribosomal RNA". It matches the Rfam family "Bacterial small subunit ribosomal RNA", at positions 28 to 507 of the family's 1533-position model. The record is from RNAcentral.